This 460-nucleotide ribosomal RNA is filed under the name uncultured bacterium. RNAcentral's name for it is "partial 16S ribosomal RNA". It matches the Rfam family "Bacterial small subunit ribosomal RNA", at positions 338 to 795 of the family's 1533-position model. The record is from RNAcentral.
CCUACGGGCGGCUGCAGUGAGGAAUAUUGGUCAAUGGACGAGAGUCUGAACCAGCCAAGUAGCGUGAAGGAUGACUGCCCUAUGGGUUGUAAACUUCUUUUAUAAAGGAAUAAAACGAGGCACGUGUGCCUUUCUGCAUGUACUUUGUGAAUAAGGAUCGGCUAACUCCGUGCCAGCAGCCGCGGUAAUACGGAGGAUCCGAGCGUUAUCCGGAUUUAUUGGGCUUAAAGGGAGCGUAGAUGGGUUGUUAAGUCAGUUGUGAAAGUUUGCGGCUCAACCGUAAAAUUGCAAUUGAUACUGGCAGUCUUGAGUACAGUUGAGGUAGGCGGAAUUCGUGGUGUAGCGGUGAAAUGCUUAGAUAUCACGAAGAACCCCGAUUGCGAAGGCAGCUUACUAAACUGUGACUGACAUUGAUGCUCGAAAGUGUGGGUAUCAAACAGGAUUAGAUACCCCGGUAGUC